Long non-coding RNA from Gasterosteus aculeatus aculeatus (three-spined stickleback), 1302 nucleotides. The record is from Ensembl. NCBI's taxonomy places the organism in Eukaryota, Metazoa, Chordata, Actinopteri, Perciformes, Gasterosteidae.
GGGGGGGGGGGGGCUCAUAUCUGAUGACACUCGCCACCUCUCCUGCAGCUCGAGCUUGAGGAGACUUGAUGCCCAGAAUGGAGCUCGAGGCCCAGAGAAGUGGAGAAGAAGCGAGACAGCGCUCACCCAAGUUGCCAGAUCGUUUCCAUCGGCGGAGAAGACCUAAUUCACCCCAGGCUAUUAAUACCAAGAUAAUAACCUUGAUGAAUGACCCCGCGAGGGGCCCUGAGCCCUCUGCACGGAGGAAAGCUGCGCGGCGCACAACUGCUGUACUCGGGAGAUUGUGUGUGAAUCGGUUACAGUGCACUUUAUUCUACAAUCCUUCUGUGCUGUGGACGCUUUGCAGUUGUGUCACAAAGCCCCUCUCAGCCACGACUGGAGUCCCAAUGUGCAAAUUAGAAAGUAUAAAAGCCAAGGAGAGAAAUAGAUAUUUAACAUUUGUUAGCGUUGUAGUUACUCGCUCAUGAGAUUUCUUUCCCAACAACUGUGAGAGAAAAGAAAAUAUAUUUAAAUUAGAUGCAAUAUAUUUGCCGUGAUAAAUUCUGCAUCUUACUUAUUUGUAAGUAUGUUUAUUUAGCUACCUCUGAUUUCAGAUUAAAUUCAAUCACAUAUUCAGUUUCAUUUUAAGCAAAGCAAAUCUAUUUUUAGUUUUGUUCGUGUGAAAGCUCAUUCUUGACCUCGGGAACAGCCGUUUGAUGAAUUAAUCUUUAAUCGUGCACUAAUAUAUCAGCGAACAACAUGCAGGGGAGACUGGUCUACCGGAGCAGAGAACGACUGUGGAAGCCCGAGGUUUUCCUUUCCUUGUUGCACAGCAGAGUCGUCCCGCGUGCCUCCGAAGCGGUUCGCUGGUGGCCGACACUCUGCACUGCGCUCUGACGGUGUCAUGGCGGGAAUAACGUCAAACACCGCCUGCUCGUGUGCUGGUGAAGAUUGUGAGGCCAAGAACACUGAGAAGCAGGUAGUAGUUGGACCCUCAGUUAAGGUUUGUAAAAUCAUUUUGUUAAUCUAGUUCAAAUAUAUUUGAAACUACUAAAAUAAAUUAAUAUGUAUAUGUCUAUUGCAAAUGAAUAUAAUAUAUUAUACAAUUCUCAAGGCAUGUCAGUCCACAUGCUUUUUUUGAUUACCUCCAGAUGCAGAUACAUCUUCAUUCAGCUUAAAGGUGUUUGGAAGAUCCCAUAAAUAGAAAAGGAAUUUGAAAUUCAUGAUAUUCAAAAAACAUCAGUUAGUUGUAUUUUUAAUUGUUUUAGCCGCGUAGCUGGCAGCAGGCUCAUUUCUGCUUAGCAGCUGGUAUUAAACAUGGAC